UACGGAGGGUGCAAGCGUUAUCCGGAUUCACUGGGUUUAAAGGGGGCGUAGGUGGGCAGGUAAGUCAGUGGUGAAAUCUUUGGGCUUAACCCGAAAACUGCCAUUGAUACUAUUUGUCUUGAAUAUUGUGGAGGUCAGCGGAAUAUGUCAUGUAGCGGUGAAAUGCUUAGAUAUGACAUAGAACACCAAUUGCGAAGGCAGCUGGCUACACAUAUAUUGACACUGAUGCACGAAAGCGUGGGGAUCAAACAGG
This 253-nucleotide ribosomal RNA is filed under the name uncultured bacterium. Its description in RNAcentral is "partial 16S ribosomal RNA". It matches the Rfam family "Bacterial small subunit ribosomal RNA", at positions 524 to 776 of the family's 1533-position model. The record is from RNAcentral.